AUGAGCCAGAAAAGUUAUAUUGCAAAAAACCCCACUGUAUACAAGCACCGUGAAAUACGUGAGUAUCCGGAUAGUGGCUGUUACAUCUAUGAGCAAGAUACUAGCUUGUUGGGGCCUUCAGGAUUUUUUAGUUGGAGGCGGAUAAACAACCUUGGUUCACACUCUCUGUUUCUCGGACACAAUUAUUCGAUUAACCAGGAGAUCACCAUUGGCAAGGACCUUGAUGGAAGAGAGGCUCUGUUUGCUAUGGAAAAUUGUGUCUACACGGCGAGCCCUAGGAGUUCGGGAGCAAACUCCCCUGAUUGUCAACGAUACAGCCUGCAGCCAAAAGAAGGUGAGAAUGACAAAGGCAUCUAG
This 357-nucleotide ribosomal RNA is filed under the name Triticum aestivum (bread wheat). RNAcentral's name for it is "partial small subunit ribosomal RNA". The record is from RNAcentral. Lineage: Eukaryota; Viridiplantae; Streptophyta; Magnoliopsida; Poales; Poaceae.